Small nucleolar RNA from Dioscorea cayenensis subsp. rotundata (Guinea yam), 107 nucleotides. The record is from RefSeq and is a predicted model, not a curated record. Lineage: Eukaryota; Viridiplantae; Streptophyta; Magnoliopsida; Dioscoreales; Dioscoreaceae.
AUCCCAUGUUGAGGACACUUCCUCAACAACUCCUUAUACAGCUUCCAUGCUUCGUACAAGGUUUUGGACUCCAUCUACUGAAAAUAAGAUAUGUCAUUUCUGAGCUU